Molecule: ribosomal RNA, 481 nt
Filed under: uncultured bacterium
Lineage: Bacteria
Description: partial 16S ribosomal RNA
Rfam family: Bacterial small subunit ribosomal RNA
Source: RNAcentral
GAUGAACGCUGGCGGCGUGCUUAACACAUGCAAGUCGAACGAAGCACUUUAUUUGAUUUCCUUCGGGACUGAUUAUUUUGUGACUGAGUGGCGGACGGGUGAGUAACGCGUGGGUAACCUGCCUUGUACAGGGGGAUAACAGUUGGAAACGGCUGCUAAUACCGCAUAAGCGCACAGCAUCGCAUGAUGCAGUGUGAAAAACUCCGGUGGUAUAAGAUGGACCCGCGUUGGAUUAGCUAGUUGGUGAGGUAACGGCCCACCAAGGCGACGAUCCAUAGCCGACCUGAGAGGGUGACCGGCCACAUUGGGACUGAGACACGGCCCAAACUCCUACGGGAGGCAGCAGUGGGGAAUAUUGCACAAUGGGCGAAAGCCUGAUGCAGCGACGCCGCGUGAGCGAAGAAGUAUUUCGGUAUGUAAAGCUCUAUCAGCAGGGAAGAUAAUGACGGUACCUAACUAAGAAGCACCGGCUAAAUACGUG